Molecule: ribosomal RNA, 497 nt
Filed under: uncultured bacterium
Lineage: Bacteria
Description: partial 16S ribosomal RNA
Rfam family: Bacterial small subunit ribosomal RNA
Source: RNAcentral
GAUGAACGCUGGCGGCGUGCCUAAUACAUGCAAGUCGAGCGAACAGACGAGGAGCUUGCUCCUCUGACGUUAGCGGCGGACGGGUGAGUAACACGUGGAUAACCUACCUAUAAGACUGGGAUAACUUCGGGAAACCGGAGCUAAUACCGGAUAAUAUAUUGAACCGCAUGGUUCAAUAGUGAAAGACGGUUUUGCUGUCACUUAUAGAUGGAUCCGCGCCGCAUUAGCUAGUUGGUAAGGUAACGGCUUACCAAGGCAACGAUGCGUAGCCGACCUGAGAGUGUGAUCGGCCACACUGGAACUGAGACACGGUCCAGACUCCUACGGGAGGCAGCAGUAGGGAAUCUUCCGCAAUGGGCGAAAGCCUGACGGAGCAACGCCGCGUGAGUGGUGAAGGUCUUCGGAUCGUAAAACUCUGUUAUUAGGGAAGAACAAAUGUGUAAGUAACUAUGCACGUCUUGACGGUACCUAAUCAGAAAGCCACGGCUAACUACGUG